UACGAAGGGUGCAAACGUUGCUCGGAAUCAUUGGGCGUAAAGCGCACGUAGGCGGCUUCGCAAGUCGGAUGUGAAAUCCCACGGCUCAACCAUGGACGUGCAUUCGAAACUGCGAAGCUUGAGUAUGGAAGAGGGUCGCGGAAUUCCCGGUGUAGAGGUGAAAUUCGUAGAUAUCGGGAGGGACACCAGUGGCGAAGGCGGCGACCUGGGCCAAUACUGACGCUGAGGUGCGAAAGCGUGGGGAGCAAACAGG
This 253-nucleotide ribosomal RNA is filed under the name uncultured bacterium. RNAcentral's name for it is "partial 16S ribosomal RNA". It matches the Rfam family "Bacterial small subunit ribosomal RNA", at positions 524 to 776 of the family's 1533-position model. The record is from RNAcentral.